GUGGCGACUUCUGCGGUUUUCUUGUCCCCCGCCGUUUGUUUCGACCACGGAUCUUUUUGUAACAAGACGACAUCGUUCAUUCGUUCGUUCGUUCCUGCAUGGAACAACAUACUUGAAAUUUCUCCAUAUAACGUAAUGGACAAUCCUUUCGUUUCCCCGACAAAUUCACGAGCAUUAACGAUCGAUCAGCUGAUGGCAACUAAGUUCGUCGAGCCCCGAGAGAGCGAUGGCGACAUUGUUAAAAGUGAAACGAGAAAGAAGGAACGGACGAAGGAGAAAGGAAAAGGGAAAAACAAAAGGGAAGUAAAAAGAGGGAGAAAGAAAUUAUACGGAGUUAUAAUUACAAGGGCAACCUUCCUGGUUGAUUACAGAAAGCAGGCCAACAGGAAAUGGACCUUAUCGUGUCUUGGACCUUCUCCCUUCGACAGUCACGAUUACUAGCAAUGGCUUAAGAAAAUAGAAAAAGAGUAAAAUACGUAAAUGAAUCAUCAUAAGCAAGAAAUGUAGCACACAAAAAUGUGAUAAAGAAUACGUAAAUAAAUCAUCGGCGAACCUGGAUGAGAAUAAUCUUAUCUGAAUACUUUACGGCAAUUAAUAGGAUUCACAUCAUUUACUUAUUCUUAAAAUGCCAAAAUUUUAUGGACAAG
Vespa mandarinia (Asian giant hornet) is the source of this 647-nucleotide long non-coding RNA. The record is from RefSeq and is a predicted model, not a curated record. Lineage: Eukaryota; Metazoa; Arthropoda; Insecta; Hymenoptera; Vespidae.